GGGAGCGUAGGCGGCGUGGUAAGUCAGAUGUGAAAUCCCGGGGCUCAACCCCGGAACUGCAUCCGAUACUGCCAUGCUUGAGGGUUGGAGAGGUAGCUGGAAUUCUCGGUGUAGCAGUGAAAUGCGUGGAUAUCGAGAGGAACACUCGUGGCGAAGGCGAGCUACUGGACAACAUCUGACGCUGAGGCUCGAAGGCUAGGGUAGCGAAAGGGAUUAGAUACCCCUGUAGUCCUAGCAGUAAACGGUGUGCGCUUGGUGUGAGGGGAUUCGACCCCCCUUGUGCCGGAGCUAACGCGUUAAGCGCACCGCCUGGGAAGUACGGCCGCAAGGCUAAAACUCAAAGAAAUUGACGGGGACCCGCACAAGCGGUGGAGUAUGUGGCUUAAUUCGAUGCAACGCGAAGAACCUUACCAAGGCUUGACAUGCAUCUCUAAGCGCGUGAAAGCGCGUGACUCUUCGGAGGAUUUGCACAGGUGCUGCAUGGCCGUCGUCAGCUCGUGUCGUGAGAUGUUGGGUUAAGUCCCGCAACGAGCGCAACCCCUGUGAUUAGUUGCCAGCGGUUCGGCCGGGGACUCUAAUCAGACUGCCCAGAUCAACUGGGAGGAAGGUGGGGACGACGUCAGGUCAGUAUGGCCCUUACGCCUUGGGCUGCACACGUACUACAAUGUCCAGUACAAUGAGAACCGAGACCGUGAGGUGGAGGAAAUCUAUAAAACUGGGCCCAGUUCGGAUUGGAGGCUGCAACUCGCCUCCAUGAAGCCGGAAUCGCUAGUAAUGCUGCAUCAGCUACGGCAGCGUGAAUACGUUCCCGGGUCUUGUACACACCGCCCGUCACAUCAUGGAAGCCGGUAGCACCCGAAGUAUCGUACGAUCCUAAGGUGAAGCUGG
Molecule: ribosomal RNA, 888 nt
Filed under: uncultured bacterium
Lineage: Bacteria
Description: bacterial SSU rRNA
Rfam family: Bacterial small subunit ribosomal RNA
Source: RNAcentral